UCAGCUCUGCAAACAUGAGGGAACCCCUUCAAUGAAGAUCCAGUAACAAUGUAUUGAGAGAGAGAAAAGGAUGCACCUUAUUUCUACAGCAGACGAUGCAGGGUGCUGUUUUCUGUUCUUUCUUUGGAUGUGAGAAAGUGAUUCAUUUCAGAAAUGGAUGGAUAAUUUUUAAAUGGAGUCUUGGGCAGCAUUUCCAGCUAAAUCAAAGAUAGCUGAGUGACAGUAAAGGAAGACUAAUCUCCAGGCAAUAGUUAUUAUCUAGUAUAAGAACUGUAGGCAAGAAGAAUGGAAUUUUAAAGCUGAGAUUUGGAACCAUCAAGCAACAUCCACGGAGCAUAAUUGUAUUUUCAGGGUACUUGGAAUCCUUUACCUGUUAACACAAAUAUUGUUUCCUGCUUAUGACAAAUGUAGAUUCUUGUGAGAAUGUUGUAGUUAUGUAAAAUCAACUUUGUGGCUGCUUGCAUGAUCAUUUUAACACAGAUGACUUUUUAAAACUUGAUAUGUUGACCACUAGUCAGAGUAGUCAGAGGAAAGGUUUUGUUUUUUGUUUUUGCUAUUUAACAGGGCCAGUGGGCAAUUUUCACUAUAAUCACAGACAUAACAGCACUCCAGAUUGCCCAUGUGCAGUUAAUUACUACACACUGGAAGAGACAGCUUUGGAAUUGACUUUCUGGCAUUAUUUUUCACUGCCCUUGAUAGAUUGAAUAAAAUUGGCAUUCAGGUGUA
Hemicordylus capensis (graceful crag lizard) is the source of this 726-nucleotide long non-coding RNA. RefSeq lists it as uncharacterized. The record is from RefSeq and is a predicted model, not a curated record. The transcript is spliced from 3 exons. NCBI's taxonomy places the organism in Eukaryota, Metazoa, Chordata, Lepidosauria, Squamata, Cordylidae.